AGGGCCGUAGUUUAACUAGAACGACUAACUUGCACUUAGAUGGAAUGAUAAAUCUACCCUU
RNAcentral lists this transfer RNA (61 nucleotides) under Gammarus roeselii. RNAcentral's name for it is "tRNA-Ala". The record is from RNAcentral. Lineage: Eukaryota; Metazoa; Arthropoda; Malacostraca; Amphipoda; Gammaridae.